GAACGCUAGCUACAGGCUUAACACAUGCAAGUCGAGGGGCAGCAUGGUCUUAGCUUGCUAAGGCCGAUGGCGACCGGCGCACGGGUGAGUAACACGUAUCCAACCUGCCGUCUACUCUUGGACAGCCUUCUGAAAGGAAGAUUAAUACAAGAUGGCAUCAUGAGUCCACAUGUUCACAUGAUUAAAGGUAUUCCGGUAGACGAUGGGGAUGCGUUCCAUUAGAUAGUAGGCGGGGUAACGGCCCACCUAGUCUUCGAUGGAUAGGGGUUCUGAGAGGAAGGUCCCCCACAUUGGAACUGAGACACGGUCCAAACUCCUACGGGAGGCAGCAGUGAGGAAUAUUGGUCAAUGGGCGAGAGCCUGAACCAGCCAAGUAGCGUGAAGGAUGACUGCCCUAUGGGUUGUAAACUUCUUUUAUAAAGGAAUAAAGUCGGGUAUGCAUACCCGUUUGCAUGUACUUUAUGAAUAAGGAUCGGCUAACUCCGUGCCAGCAGCCGCGGUAAUACGGAGGAUCCGAGCGUUAUCCGGAUUUAUUGGGUUUAAAGGGAGCGUAGAUGGAUGUUUAAGUCAGUUGUGAAAGUUUGCGGCUCAACCGUAAAAUUGCAGUUGAUACUGGAUAUCUUGAGUGCAGUUGAGGCAGGCGGAAUUCGUGGUGUAGCGGUGAAAUGCUUAGAUAUCACGAAGAACUCCGAUUGCGAAGGCAGCCUGCUAAGCUGCAACUGACAUUGAGGCUCGAAAGUGUGGGUAUCAAACAGGAUUAGAUACCCUGGUAGUCCACACGGUAAACGAUGAAUACUCGCUGUUUGCGAUAUACUGCAAGCGGCCAAGCGAAAGCGUUAAGUAUUCCACCUGGGGAGUACGCCGGCAACGGUGAAACUCAAAGGAAUUGACGGGGGCCCGCACAAGCGGAGGAACAUGUGGUUUAAUUCGAUGAUACGCGAGGAACCUUACCCGGGCUUAAAUUGCAGAUGAAUUACGGUGAAAGCCGUAAGCCGCAAGGCAUCUGUGAAGGUGCUGCAUGGUUGUCGUCAGCUCGUGCCGUGAGGUGUCGGCUUAAGUGCCAUAACGAGCGCAACCCUUGUUGUCAGUUACUAACAGGUUCUGCUGAGGACUCUGACAAGACUGCCAUCGUAAGAUGUGAGGAAGGUGGGGAUGACGUCAAAUCAGCACGGCCCUUACGUCCGGGGCUACACACGUGUUACAAUGGGGGGUACAGAGGGCCGCUACCACGCGAGUGGAUGCCAAUCCCAAAAACCUCUCUCAGUUCGGACUGGAGUCUGCAACCCGACUCCACGAAGCUGGAUUCGCUAGUAAUCGCGCAUCAGCCACGGCGCGGUGAAUACGUUCCCGGGCCUUGUACACACCGCCCGUCAAGCCAUGGGAGCCGGGGGUACCUGAAGUGCGUAACCGCGAGGAGCGCCCUAGGGUAAAACUGGUGACUGGG
Molecule: ribosomal RNA, 1444 nt
Filed under: uncultured organism
Description: SSU rRNA
Rfam family: Bacterial small subunit ribosomal RNA
Source: RNAcentral